GCCUCGGUAGCUCAGUUGGUAGAGCAGUUGACUCUUAAUCAAUUGGUCCCGGGUUCGAGUCCCAGCCGGGGUACCA
Molecule: transfer RNA, 76 nt
Filed under: Verrucomicrobiota bacterium
Lineage: Bacteria; Pseudomonadati; Verrucomicrobiota
Also listed under: 1 other name
Description: Verrucomicrobia bacterium (gut metagenome) tRNA-Lys
Rfam family: tRNA
About the family: Transfer RNA (tRNA) molecules are approximately 80 nucleotides in length. Their secondary structure includes four short double-helical elements and three loops (D, anti-codon, and T loops). Further hydrogen bonds mediate the characteristic L-shaped molecular structure. tRNAs have two regions of fundamental functional importance: the anti-codon, which is responsible for specific mRNA codon recognition, and the 3' end, to which the tRNAs corresponding amino acid is attached (by aminoacyl-tRNA synthetases). tRNAs cope with the degeneracy of the genetic code in two manners: having more than one tRNA (with a specific anti-codon) for a particular amino acid; and 'wobble' base-pairing, i.e. permitting non-standard base-pairing at the 3rd anti-codon position.
Source: RNAcentral